This 2893-nucleotide ribosomal RNA is filed under the name Enterobacter cancerogenus YZ1. RNAcentral describes it as "bacterial LSU rRNA". It matches the Rfam family "Bacterial large subunit ribosomal RNA". RNAcentral also lists the same sequence under 1 other name. The record is from RNAcentral. Lineage: Bacteria; Pseudomonadati; Pseudomonadota; Gammaproteobacteria; Enterobacterales; Enterobacteriaceae.
ACUAAGCGUACACGGUGGAUGCCCUGGCAGUCAGAGGCGAUGAAGGACGUGCUAAUCUGCGAAAAGCGCCGGCGAGGUGAUAUGAACCCUUGACCCGGCGAUGUCCGAAUGGGGAAACCCAGUGCAAUUCGUUGCACUAUCGUUAACUGAAUACAUAGGUUAACGAGGCGAACCGGGGGAACUGAAACAUCUAAGUACCCCGAGGAAAAGAAAUCAACCGAGAUUCCCCCAGUAGCGGCGAGCGAACGGGGAGCAGCCCGGAGUCUGAAUCAGCUUGUGUGUUAGUGGAACGGUCUGGAAAGUCCGACGGUACAGGGUGAUAGUCCCGUACACGAAAGCACACAUGCUGUGAACUCGAAGAGUAGGGCGGGACACGUGGUAUCCUGUCUGAAUAUGGGGGGACCAUCCUCCAAGGCUAAAUACUCCUGACUGACCGAUAGUGAACCAGUACCGUGAGGGAAAGGCGAAAAGAACCCCGGCGAGGGGAGUGAAAAAGAACCUGAAACCGUGUACGUACAAGCAGUGGGAGCCUCUUUAUGGGGUGACUGCGUACCUUUUGUAUAAUGGGUCAGCGACUUAUAUUCUGUAGCAAGGUUAACCGUAUAGGGGAGCCGAAGGGAAACCGAGUCUUAACUGGGCGUUAAGUUGCAGGGUAUAGACCCGAAACCCGGUGAUCUAGCCAUGGGCAGGUUGAAGGUUGGGUAACACUAACUGGAGGACCGAACCGACUAAUGUUGAAAAAUUAGCGGAUGACCUGUGGCUGGGGGUGAAAGGCCAAUCAAACCGGGAGAUAGCUGGUUCUCCCCGAAAGCUAUUUAGGUAGCGCCUCGUGAACUCAUCUUCGGGGGUAGAGCACUGUUUCGGCUAGGGGGCCAUCCCGGCUUACCAACCCGAUGCAAACUACGAAUACCGAAGAAUGUUAUCACGGGAGACACACGGCGGGUGCUAACGUCCGUCGUGAAGAGGGAAACAACCCAGACCGCCAGCUAAGGUCCCAAAGUCAUGGUUAAGUGGGAAACGAUGUGGGAAGGCACAGACAGCCAGGAUGUUGGCUUAGAAGCAGCCAUCAUUUAAAGAAAGCGUAAUAGCUCACUGGUCGAGUCGGCCUGCGCGGAAGAUGUAACGGGGCUAAACCAUGCACCGAAGCUGCGGCAGCGACACUAUGUGUUGUUGGGUAGGGGAGCGUUCUGUAAGCCGUUGAAGGUGUGCUGUGAGGCAUGCUGGAGGUAUCAGAAGUGCGAAUGCUGACAUAAGUAACGAUAAAGCGGGUGAAAAGCCCGCUCGCCGGAAGACCAAGGGUUCCUGUCCAACGUUAAUCGGGGCAGGGUGAGUCGACCCCUAAGGCGAGGCCGAAAGGCGUAGUCGAUGGGAAACAGGUUAAUAUUCCUGUACUUGGUGUUACUGCGAAGGGGGGACGGAGAAGGCUAUGUCAGCCGGGCGACGGUUGUCCCGGUUUAAGCAUGUAGGCGGAGGUUCCAGGUAAAUCCGGUACCUUUUAACGCUGAGGUGUGAUGACGAGGCACUACGGUGCUGAAGUGAUAAAUGCCCUGCUUCCAGGAAAAGCCUCUAAGCAUCAGGUAACACGAAAUCGUACCCCAAACCGACACAGGUGGUCAGGUAGAGAAUACCAAGGCGCUUGAGAGAACUCGGGUGAAGGAACUAGGCAAAAUGGUGCCGUAACUUCGGGAGAAGGCACGCUGAUGUGUAGGUGAAGCCCCUGCGGGCGGAGCUGAAAUCAGUCGAAGAUACCAGCUGGCUGCAACUGUUUAUUAAAAACACAGCACUGUGCAAACACGAAAGUGGACGUAUACGGUGUGACGCCUGCCCGGUGCCGGAAGGUUAAUUGAUGGGGUUAGCGGCAACGCGAAGCUCUUGAUCGAAGCCCCGGUAAACGGCGGCCGUAACUAUAACGGUCCUAAGGUAGCGAAAUUCCUUGUCGGGUAAGUUCCGACCUGCACGAAUGGCGUAAUGAUGGCCAGGCUGUCUCCACCCGAGACUCAGUGAAAUUGAACUCGCUGUGAAGAUGCAGUGUACCCGCGGCAAGACGGAAAGACCCCGUGAACCUUUACUAUAGCUUGACACUGAACACUGGUCCUUGAUGUGUAGGAUAGGUGGGAGGCUUUGAAGCGUGGACGCCAGUCUGCGUGGAGCCAACCUUGAAAUACCACCCUUUAAUGGCUGGUGUUCUAACGUAGACCCGUAAUCCGGGUUGCGGACAGUGUCUGGUGGGUAGUUUGACUGGGGCGGUCUCCUCCCAAAGAGUAACGGAGGAGCACGAAGGUUGGCUAAUCCUGGUCGGACAUCAGGAGGUUAGUGCAAUGGCAUAAGCCAGCUUGACUGCGAGCGUGACGGCGCGAGCAGGUGCGAAAGCAGGUCAUAGUGAUCCGGUGGUUCUGAAUGGAAGGGCCAUCGCUCAACGGAUAAAAGGUACUCCGGGGAUAACAGGCUGAUACCGCCCAAGAGUUCAUAUCGACGGCGGUGUUUGGCACCUCGAUGUCGGCUCAUCACAUCCUGGGGCUGAAGUAGGUCCCAAGGGUAUGGCUGUUCGCCAUUUAAAGUGGUACGCGAGCUGGGUUUAGAACGUCGUGAGACAGUUCGGUCCCUAUCUGCCGUGGGCGCUGGAGAAUUGAGGGGGGCUGCUCCUAGUACGAGAGGACCGGAGUGGACGCAUCACUGGUGUUCGGGUUGUCAUGCCAAUGGCACUGCCCGGUAGCUAAAUGCGGAAGAGAUAAGUGCUGAAAGCAUCUAAGCACGAAACUUGCCCCGAGAUGAGUUCUCCCUGAGACUUUAAGUCUCCUGAAGGAACGUUGAAGACGACGACGUUGAUAGGUCGGGUGUGUAAGCGCAGCGAUGCGUUGAGCUAACCGAUACUAAUGAACCGUGAGGCUUAACC